CUGACCCCCUCCGUCGUUAUCUGGCGCCCAUUUAACAGGGAGUCCUACUUCGUCGAGUUCUGCAGGGACGCAAGGCGAACGGAAGGAGCUGAGGGAAGCAGUCGUGGGAGGUGAUGCUGUCCCCGGCAUCACGGAACAAAACCAUGCGCAUGGUACAGAGGAAUCUCACCCUGGCCCGGUGAGUCGACCGAGGGAGAGAGCAUGGGGCCCGCGGCAUCCAAAGAGGAUGAGGCCGCGGAAACGCUCCCCCGAUAUAUAUUCUCUCUAGGAGAGCCUGUUUCUGAUGGAACCGCCCCUAAGGGGUUGAUGGCAUGGGUGAGAGCGAGGACUCUACUUCCCGCUGCUCGAACCGCCUUUCAGGUGUCCACAAGGGACGCUAUAAAGGAAUUGUUUUGGGACGAGAUCUCUACGGGGUCAGGAGCCCCUAGAACGUGUACUCUGCUUUGGCGUCUGGCAGUUGGGUCGCUACAAGAGUUAAGUUCUGAGCGACGGGAACUCAUAAAGGUUCGAACAGCUCUGUCGGGAGAUGGCGGGACUACGGCCGGUCCCCGCCCCGUUCGGUCUGCUGUAGGGGGGAUCCCCGUGCCUGCGGCUGCGAAGUUGCGAAUGCUAGGACCCUUAGGAGCAGCGGGAUCACCUCCGUUUAGCGCCGUGCAUGUAGCAGCAGGAUGUGUAGGGGCUGCAGGAACAUCACUAGCGGCGGAGAAUGAAGCUGGAGCCGUGCCAGCAGCACCGCUCUCUCCUGCGGCUGCGCAGUCGGCAGUGUCGCUCCUCACUGUGCCUGCUACUGCGCAUGUGUCAACUGGACCGACACUGCUGGGAGCCUCCGCGUCCCUAGAUGGCGCUGCAUCGCUGGCGCCUGAAGCCACCAUGCAACCCGGAAGAAAGCCACUGUGGAUCGCUGCCAUGGCAACAGACGCUGUUUUCGGAAAAAAAAAAAAAAAUAAAAAGCAGAACCAGGAUUACUCAAACAGCUGCCAGAGUCCGGCGUGCGGGUGCUGAGGCCGCGCUCCAGGGCUGGGGGCUGCGCGCUGGGGCUGCCGCUGCGCCGGCUCGGCCGUGGGGGAGGCGGCGCUGGCAGCCACGGCAAAAGGCGGCAGGGGCACCUCGGCGGCAGAGGCACCUCAGCGACAGAGGCAACGCCGACAGCUACUUCUGCAGAGCCAGCCAGACUUCUGCGGGCAUCCCCGGGAGCUGCACGGCGCACGGAGCAGCCCGGGGAACAGCAGCUCGGCGGUGACUGGCUUGCGGGGGAGUUGCCCCGCAGAAUCCAGGCAUGUCGGUAACUGAGAACAGAAAGCAGAAUCUCUCUCUCUUUAGUCCUUCUGCUCACUUGUGGAUAACUUAAAACUAAAAGAUUGUGUUUUACUAAAAGUUAGCAUGCAAGAAAUUUUAAGAGUUUCCCAGAGAAUGAAUCUUUAUAUAAAAGCUUUAGUGAGUUGCCUUGGUUUUAGUCACAUUUUACCCCUGUAAAGAACUUCUGCCCAAAUUUCGUGUUCAGUCUUAGCAGGAGGAGACAUAAGGUUCACACAAUAGAGAUCAUUUGUUGCUUAGCAACUGGGUGGGACUCAAACCACCUCCAGCAGUUUCUCAGAACUAGGGAGAGAGUAGAACUUAUACACCAAAAACUACAAAUCUGCAAAUAAGAUAAAUGGAAAGCUGGCAGGCUGAGGAUUUCCUUGAUUCUUAGGUAAAACAUCUCUCUAUCUUCCUGUUAUAAACUGAGAAGUUAUUGUGACAGUGGAAAUCACAUCUUUAGAAUUGUAUUUAAAAAGGUUUACUCAGCUGAUUUUAACAUUUGGAUGUUAAUUUACAUUCCUGUCUGAUAUUAUUUCUUUUCCUUGGUCAAGUUUAGUGAAUUCAUUAUUUUUUCCUUUUUUUUUUCUUCUGUGUUUAUGACAGAGUUGCAACUUUGAGUUGCAUUUCAUGUACUGUUUAAGCAAUUGUUAAUAUUCUAUUUAUAACAUAGCAGCAAGUACAUUUUUUUUCAGAUUUUAAUAUAUAUCUUCUGUCGUGGAUUCGUACAGUAUGUACAGAGCAGUUUGGUCAAACAAAACGUAUUAUAUGUUUUUAAAUGUUUUAUAACUGCUGAUAUAGCAUACAGCCUAAUUGCUUUUCUAAAAACACUACUCAGGCACACACUAUGCUGUGAAGUUUGACUUAUCUCUCUUGGCACUGAUGUUAUGUCAACAGUUAUACUACAUGAAUUUCAGAUUAUUUUUAAAAUAACCUAACAAGAUGCAAAAUGUGUGUGUUUACUUUAUACCAAUAAAAGAGCAGAUUGCUAAAUUA
Molecule: long non-coding RNA, 2292 nt
Organism: Pipra filicauda (Wire-tailed manakin)
Lineage: Eukaryota; Metazoa; Chordata; Aves; Passeriformes; Pipridae
Exons: 2
Source: RefSeq, a predicted model, not a curated record